GGAACGUGCCCGAUCGUGGGGGAUAACGCAGCGAAAGCUGUGCUAAUACCGCAUACGAUCUACGGAUGAAAGCGGGGGAUCGCAAGACCUCGCGCGGACGGAGCGGCCGAUGGCAGAUUAGGUAGUUGGUGGGAUAAAAGCUUACCAAGCCGACGAUCUGUAGCUGGUCUGAGAGGACGACCAGCCACACUGGGACUGAGACACGGCCCAGACUCCUACGGGAGGCAGCAGUGGGGAAUUUUGGACAAUGGGCGAAAGCCUGAUCCAGCCAUGCCGCGUGCAGGAUGAAGGCCUUCGGGUUGUAAACUGCUUUUGUACGGAACGAAAAAGUCUUCUCUAAUACAGGGGAGCAGGACGGUACCGUAAGAAUAAGCACCGGCUAACUACGUGCC
This 392-nucleotide ribosomal RNA is filed under the name uncultured bacterium. RNAcentral describes it as "bacterial SSU rRNA". It matches the Rfam family "Bacterial small subunit ribosomal RNA", at positions 121 to 509 of the family's 1533-position model. The record is from RNAcentral.